This 439-nucleotide ribosomal RNA is filed under the name uncultured Rhodoferax sp. RNAcentral describes it as "bacterial SSU rRNA". It matches the Rfam family "Bacterial small subunit ribosomal RNA", at positions 943 to 1382 of the family's 1533-position model. The record is from RNAcentral. Lineage: Bacteria; Pseudomonadati; Pseudomonadota; Betaproteobacteria; Burkholderiales; Comamonadaceae.
GGUUUAAUUCGAUGCAACGCGAAAAACCUUACCCACCUUUGACAUGUACGGAACCCUUUAGAGAUAGAGGGGUGCUCGAAAGAGAGCCGUAACACAGGUGCUGCAUGGCUGUCGUCAGCUCGUGUCGUGAGAUGUUGGGUUAAGUCCCGCAACGAGCGCAACCCUUGUCAUUAGUUGCUACAUUCAGUUGGGCACUCUAAUGAGACUGCCGGUGACAAGCCGGAGGAAGGUGGGGAUGACGUCAAGUCCUCAUGGCCCUUAUAGGUGGGGCUACACACGUCAUACAAUGGCUGGUACAAAGGGUUGCCAACCCGCGAGGGGGAGCCAAUCCCAUAAAGCCAGUCGUAGUCCGGAUCGUAGUCUGCAACUCGACUACGUGAAGUCGGAAUCGCUAGUAAUCGUGGAUCAGAAUGUCACGGUGAAUACGUUCCCGGGUCUU